GGCUGUCACCUCGUUCAUACCAAACCAUCUACCUAAUUGAAUAAGAUGUGGUUGGUUAAAAUCUAAGUUCCCCUGCCUGAAUUUUUAGUCUAAUGCGGAAUAUGGUGAAGUAAUUAAGGUAGAGCUUCAUGGCAAGUUAAUGGAUGCAUAAUAACACCAGCCUUUCCUUAUUAGUUUAGCCUUUUGAGGAUUUUGGAAUAAACUAACUCAUAAUGCAACAAGACAAACACCCACAUUACAACCUAAAAUAUGAAAGAGAGAACUACCAUUUUGUGUGUAAUCGUAUCUUUUCCUCACUUGUUUUUGUCCUCGCAACAAAAAUAUAAAAUGAUGAAAAUAUGUGGCCACACAUAGAUAGACUGAUUAUAACAUUAUAGAUCCUAUUUACCCAUCACAUAUUAUGUUUUGUGCCACCAUUCCUGAAGAGGAUUUUUGUAGUUUGUUUCGUUUGCUCAAUUGUAUAAUGUAUAGCUAAUUUUUUUUGGGUGAAACACAGUACAAAGGUAAAUGCACAUCUACACACAUGCGCCUUGUGGAGUUGUGAAAUCUUGCCUUGAUAACUAUAUACUCCCUCC
RNAcentral lists this long non-coding RNA (575 nucleotides) under Setaria viridis. RNAcentral describes it as "long non-coding RNA (SVIR_LNC001224)". The record is from RNAcentral. Lineage: Eukaryota; Viridiplantae; Streptophyta; Magnoliopsida; Poales; Poaceae.